RNAcentral lists this ribosomal RNA (253 nucleotides) under uncultured bacterium. RNAcentral describes it as "partial 16S ribosomal RNA". It matches the Rfam family "Bacterial small subunit ribosomal RNA", at positions 524 to 776 of the family's 1533-position model. The record is from RNAcentral.
GACGGAGGAUGCAAGUGUUAUCCGGAGUCACUGGGCGUAAAGCGUCUGUAGGUGGUUUAAUAAGUCAACUGUUAAAUCUUGAGGCUCAACCUCAAAAUCGCAGUCGAAACUAUUAGGCUAGAGUAUAGUAGGGGUAAAGGGAAUUUCCAGUGGAGCGGUGAAAUGCGUAGAGAUUGGAAAGAACACCGAUGGCGAAGGCACUUUACUGGGCUAUUACUAACACUCAGGGACGAAAGCUAGGGGAGCGAAUGGG